Molecule: long non-coding RNA, 673 nt
Filed under: Physcomitrium patens
Lineage: Eukaryota; Viridiplantae; Streptophyta; Bryopsida; Funariales; Funariaceae
Description: long non-coding RNA (PPAT_LNC009091)
Source: RNAcentral
GUUUGUCGCCUUCACCUAUUGUGGAGGCAACCGGGGCCCUUGGGAAUGACGGGUUCUCCGUCGGUGGUGAGGUUGCCUUCGACUCUGCUAAUGGGUCACUAAUUAAGUACAACGCUGGUGUCGGUCUGGUUAAGCCCGACUUCAACGCCUCCAUAAUCUUGUAAGCCUUGACCAGUUCACGAUCAAAUUGUUGGUGGCACUUUCAAUUAUUGUUAUUGCAGCACAAAUUUCUUGGAGCUAAGCACCUCCAGGCUGUCCAUUCCUUGAUUGUGUUAGCUCCUUUGCAAACACAGGGCUGAGAAAGGCGACUUGCUGAAGGCUUCUUACCUACACACAGUGAGCCCAAUUUCAAGGACGACCAUGGCUGCUGAGAUCGCUCACAGGUUUUCCAAGAAUGAGAACACGUUUACUGUCGGAGGUUUGUACGAGUUGGACACUCUAACCACUGUGAAGGCUCGAUUGAACAACCAUGGAAAGUUAGCUGCCCUACUCCAGCACGAGUGGAGGCCGAAGUCUCUGGUCACCUUAUCUGGGGAGGUGGAUACUAAGUCCUUGGAUAAGACAGCGAAGAUCGGUUUGGCUUUGGCUCUCAAGCCAUGAGAAGAUGAACUUAAGUCCUUAACUUUGGACUACUCUUACUGGGUGGUGCUUACGACUAGAACGGUGUGCUGCG